RNAcentral lists this transfer RNA (64 nucleotides) under unidentified. Its description in RNAcentral is "Epeorus sp. 06 ZXM-2022a tRNA-Glu". The record is from RNAcentral.
AUUCAUGUAGUUUACCUAAAACAUUACAUUUUCACUGUAAAAAGAAGCUUUGGCUUUAUGAAUG